AGAAUCGACGCUGGCGGCGUGCCUAACACAUGCAAGUCGAACGCGAAAGCCCCGCAAGGGGCAAGUAGAGUGGCAAACGGGUGAGUAACACGUGGGUGACCUGCCUUCGAGCGGGGGAUAACGUCCCGAAAGGGACGCUAAUACCGCAUAACAUCCUGCCUUUGAAGAGGUGGAGAUCAAAGCUGGGGAUCGCAAGACCCGGCACUUGAAGAGGGGCCCGCGCCUGAUUAGCUAGUUGGUGGGGUAAUGGCCUACCAAGGCAACGAUCAGUA
This 272-nucleotide ribosomal RNA is filed under the name uncultured soil bacterium. RNAcentral's name for it is "partial 16S ribosomal RNA". It matches the Rfam family "Bacterial small subunit ribosomal RNA", at positions 26 to 285 of the family's 1533-position model. The record is from RNAcentral.